Long non-coding RNA from Gadus macrocephalus (Pacific cod), 326 nucleotides. RefSeq lists it as uncharacterized. The transcript is spliced from 2 exons. Lineage: Eukaryota; Metazoa; Chordata; Actinopteri; Gadiformes; Gadidae. The record is from RefSeq and is a predicted model, not a curated record.
GACGCAUAUGAUAUACGUCACCACACCCGCACUUGGAACUCGGUACAGAGAUGGCGAUCUUUCUGCUCCACUUCACCACUUUUUUUCAAGGCGAGGAUAAUGCAUAGAAAGAGGUGAAAACCACUAUAAGUUGGGGCAUGUGGAGAGUUUUAGUUAUGUGCCAUCUCUAUGUGCCAUCUCUGUGCCUCAAGCUUUUCUUGUGGAUUUGAGUUCAAAUCUUUUUGAGUGUGAAAUCCUUCUAGAGUUCAAAGGACCCUAUCGGUGGGAAAUAUAUUUGACAUAUUGAACGAUUUCUGUAGAGAACAUAAUUGGUCAUUACGGUUGGA